AACGAACGUUGGCGGCGUGGAUUAGGCAUGCGAGUCGAACGCGAAUCCCUGGGCAACUGGGGAGGAGAGUGGCGAAAGGGGCAGUAAGGCGUGGGUAACCUACCCUCCGGGCCGGGAUAGCUUCGGGAAACUGAAGGUAAUACCGGGCGACGCAGCGAGAUCGCAUGGUCUUGCUGCCAAAGGUCCGCCGCCGGGGGAGGGGCUCACGUGGUAUUAGCUAGACGGCGGGGUAACGGCCCACCGUGGCAAAGAUGCCUAGCAGGUGUGAGAGCACGACCUGCGCCACUGGCACUGAGACACUGGCCAGACACCUACGGGUGGCUGCAGUCGAGGAUCUUCGGCAAUGGGCGCAAGCCUGACCGAGCGACGCCGCGUGUGCGAUGAAGGCCUUCGGGUUGUAAAGCACUGUCGAGGGGGAGGAAGCCGCAAGGUUGACCUAUCCCUGGAGGAAGCACGGGCUAAGUUCGUG
This 469-nucleotide ribosomal RNA is filed under the name uncultured bacterium. RNAcentral's name for it is "partial 16S ribosomal RNA". It matches the Rfam family "Bacterial small subunit ribosomal RNA", at positions 28 to 507 of the family's 1533-position model. The record is from RNAcentral.